Molecule: ribosomal RNA, 253 nt
Filed under: uncultured bacterium
Lineage: Bacteria
Description: partial 16S ribosomal RNA
Rfam family: Bacterial small subunit ribosomal RNA
Source: RNAcentral
UACGUAGGGUGCGAGCGUUAAUCGGAAUUACUGGGCGUAAAGUGUGCGCAAGCGGCAGAGCAAGUCGAGUGUGAAAGCCCCGGGCUUAACUUGGGAAUUGCGCUCGAAACUACUUUGCUGGAGUGUGGCAGAGGAAGGUGGAAUUCCACGUGUAGCGGUGAAAUGCGUAGAGAUGUGGAGGAACACCAAUGGCGAAGGCAGCCUUCUGGGCCAACACUGACGCUCAUGCACGAAAGCGUGGGGAGCAAACAGG